CAAGGCGACGAUCCCUAGCUGGUCUGAGAGGAUGACCAGCCACACUGGAACUGAGACACGGUCCAGACUCCUACGGGAGGCAGCAGUGGGGAAUAUUGCACAAUGGGCGCAAGCCUGAUGCAGCCAUGCCGCGUGUAUGAAGAAGGCCUUCGGGUUGUAAAGUACUUUCAGCGGGGAGGAAGGUGUUGUGGUUAAUAACCGCAGCAAUUGACGUUACCCGCAGAAGAAGCACCGGCUAACUCCGUGCCAGCAGCCGCGGUAAUACGGAGGGUGCAAGCGUUAAUCGGAAUUACUGGGCGUAAAGCGCACGCAGGCGGUCUGUCAAGUCGGAUGUGAAAUCCCCGGGCUCAACCUGGGAACUGCAUUCGAAACUGGCAGGCUUGAGUCUUGUAGAGGGGGGUAGAAUUCCAGGUGUAGCGGUGAAAUGCGUAGAGAUCUGGAGGAAUACCGGUGGCGAAGGCGGCCCCCUGGACAAAGACUGACGCUCAGGUGCGAAAGCGUGGGGAG
RNAcentral lists this ribosomal RNA (507 nucleotides) under Salmonella enterica. RNAcentral describes it as "bacterial SSU rRNA". It matches the Rfam family "Bacterial small subunit ribosomal RNA", at positions 269 to 768 of the family's 1533-position model. Lineage: Bacteria; Pseudomonadati; Pseudomonadota; Gammaproteobacteria; Enterobacterales; Enterobacteriaceae. The record is from RNAcentral.